AGAGAGUUAGGGUGAGGGGCAGCUUUCGGGUCCGAACCCGACGCUACUCCCGCAGCCUCGUUAUCU
This 66-nucleotide microRNA precursor is filed under the name Rhizobium leguminosarum bv. trifolii WSM597. Its description in RNAcentral is "mir-423". Lineage: Bacteria; Pseudomonadati; Pseudomonadota; Alphaproteobacteria; Hyphomicrobiales; Rhizobiaceae. The record is from RNAcentral.